UGUUAAAAAUUUCAUCCAUUUGUACUAUUAAAAACUGGCGUGAUUGACAGAAUAAUCAACAAGUGGCACGUGGUGUGUUAUGUAUAUCUCAUGUUAGCAUAUAAAGAUUAGUUUUUAACAGCAGAAAUGGAUGGAAUUAUUAACA
Non-coding RNA from Gossypium hirsutum (cotton), 145 nucleotides. NCBI's taxonomy places the organism in Eukaryota, Viridiplantae, Streptophyta, Magnoliopsida, Malvales, Malvaceae. The record is from Rfam.